Molecule: ribosomal RNA, 333 nt
Filed under: Triticum aestivum (bread wheat)
Lineage: Eukaryota; Viridiplantae; Streptophyta; Magnoliopsida; Poales; Poaceae
Description: partial small subunit ribosomal RNA
Source: RNAcentral
AUGUCAAGAUAUGUUGAUUGUUGCAACCAGAAACCAUUUACUACUUUGCUAACCCAUUUCUCACUCCCAAGUAUUUUUUUAUUUCAGCUCGAGCUUCCUUCUGUAACUCCUACAUUGGUGUUUAAAGACUUGGCGGUAAACCGAGUGCAAUUAGGCAACAGCAGUGCCAAGGUUCAGUUCAGCAAGGAGACCAAGUGCCCCUACAUUGUCCAUUCCUACAACACCCUGGCCUGUCAAACGAGAAGACUCGAUGCAGCCAGCUACGACUAUGGCCCACUUGACAACCAAGCCAAACAACACGCAAAACAAGCCAAGAACAUGCAGAUGAAGUAA